ACACGGGGGCUGCUCAGUACGGCGAGUGAAGCGGCAAGAGCUCAAAUUUGAAAUCUGGCCCCUCCGGGGUCCGAGUUGUAAUUUGGAGAGGAUGCUUCGGGCUCGGUCCCCAUCUAAGUGCCCCUGGAACGGGCUGUCAUAGAGGGUGAGAAUCCCGUAUGGGAUGGGCGGCCGUGCCCGUGUGAAGCUCCUUCGACGAGUCGAGUUGUUUGGGAAUGCAGCUCUAAGCGGGUGGUAAAUUUCAUCUAAAGCUAAAUACUGGCCGGAGACCGAUAGCGCACAAGUAGAGUGAUCGAAAGAUGAAAAGCACUUUGAAAAGAGAGUUAAACAGCACGUGAAAUUGUUGAAAGGGAAGCGUUGGCCACCAGACGCGCCCGGGGGGGCUCAGCCGGCACGUGUGCCGGUGUACUCCCCCCCGGACGGGUCAGCAUCGGUUUGGGCGGUCGCUGAAAGGCUCUGGGAAUGUAGCACCCUCCGGGGUGCCUUAUAGCCCAGGGUGUCAUGCGGCCCGCCUGGACCGAGGUUCGCGCUUCGGCGAGGAUGCUGGCGUAAUGGUGGUCAACGGCCCGUCUUGAAAACGGGACCAAA
RNAcentral lists this ribosomal RNA (588 nucleotides) under Talaromyces atroroseus. RNAcentral's name for it is "partial large subunit ribosomal RNA". It matches the Rfam family "Eukaryotic large subunit ribosomal RNA", at positions 66 to 664 of the family's 3401-position model. The record is from RNAcentral. Lineage: Eukaryota; Fungi; Ascomycota; Eurotiomycetes; Eurotiales; Trichocomaceae.